Molecule: long non-coding RNA, 940 nt
Filed under: Equus caballus (horse)
Lineage: Eukaryota; Metazoa; Chordata; Mammalia; Perissodactyla; Equidae
Description: lncRNA (ENSECAG00000051177.1)
Source: RNAcentral
GUUCUAUGUCACCUCAAAUACAUUACUCAACAAAUUCGGAGUUGAAAUCACUGCCAGGACUCAAAUCCAACUAUAAUCAGUGGCUACAUCUGGAAAGGCUGCAUGGAGAUGUCCUUUAAGAUGAAGAUACCUGGAUUCUACCUCCAACUUUUUUCGGAAUCUGUAGUUUCAGAGUGUCUACAUUUCCACAGCUCUCCCAGGAAGCCCUCACUAUUCACCACUCUUGCCAACAAACUUCCUUCACCUGACCGUGAGAGCUGGAGUAAAGGAAGCCACAGCUAGGUAGUUGCAUUCUUGUUCUGUUCUUUGACUACGGACUGUAUCCUUACUUCAGGCAGCUGGAUGACAAGCACCUGCAAAGAAAUCCCUUGAACAACUGGAAAAACCAUUCAAGAUUCAUACCCAAGGGAUGGAGCACGGGGAAUAAAAAGCAAGCACCAGUGAAUGAAUUCAGCAGCCACAAACAAAUUACCAGCGACAUGUACCUUCCUGAGCGGCAGAGAAUUAUGGAGGCAAUAUUGCACGAUGGGAUAUGUAAGAACAGCCUUGGAGGUUCAUGUGUGGAUGGAAACCAAUUAAGAAAAGCACUUAGGAAAAUUGCUUUCCACUGUCUGGAUGAGAAUUUAUCAUGAGAUAUGGUUUUUAAGUGAAAAACCUUACAUGUAAACCUAGACUAAGUGUUUUGUCCAUGGUGACACACCAGGGGAAACAAAAGAGAUAAAAAUAGAAUGCUUGAAACCAGCCUCCUGAUGUAAUCACCAGACAGUUUACAAGUUUAUCUGAGGAGGAAGAGGUCCUAAUGCAACGUAGAACCUUAAGAGAGAGAUGUCAGCACAAGAAUUGCAGCAGCCAACUGACUGGGAACAAUAGAAAUGGAACUGAUUGCUUCGUAAAGAGUGAUACAAUUUUACCAAUGACACAGCAAAAGAAAACAAUUGCA